UGUCUUCUGUUGGUGUUCAGAUGUACUUCAGUUUCUGUGCGCCUUUAUCCUUUUGCCAGUUAGAGUUUUUUCAGAUCCAGAAACUCCGCUGAUAAACAUAGAGAUAUAUUUCAUACACAAUAAUAAGAAUAAUAUUCUAGUUUUUCUUUUCUAAAUUUGGAACUAAGAUGCAAUAGCUUGAUGAGAGCCGAGUAAUGUUGUUGAUAUUUCUGUGAUUAUUGCUGGUGGGGCGAAAAAGGCAUACGUCGUCGUUUCAGUGAACAAAGAACAGAAGAUGUGUAUGAGUGAUUUUGGGUCUUCUUCUUCCUUUCCUUUGUUCUUCGUUCUUCUAUCUUCUAUCAUCCCUCUUUAUUUGGAUAUUAGCUCGAAAAUAAAUCUUAAAAACAUCCAGAUCUGAUUUUGAUCCCUUCAUUAUUUGGAUGUUAGUUCAAAAAUAAAUGUUAAAAAUAUCCAGAUCUGAUUUUGAAGGUGUAAAUUUGUUUUUCAAAAAUAAAAAUUUUCUCAAUCUAGAUCUAGAUUUCUGAUGUACUCAAGAUUUUUUGAUUUGAGAAUAUUGGUUGUGCUUCGAGCCUUCGAUGGUUAGGGAUGCUCUGCCGCAGCCGGUCGAACCGUUUGUGAGUUUGAAGCCGUUAACAGCAACCCAGGCUACGGUCAGAAAGAUGUUGGGGGUUGGAUUCCAUUAGAAAGAAACGUUUCUCUCUCCCUCUCACCCUCCUGAGUUUUGCCUGAAUAACUAACUCUGCUCAAGAAAGCUUAAAAUGUCUCUAACUCGUAUGUAUUUAAUUGUAAAAUUAUGUAAUUGGGUAAACCUCUCCUUUCUAUACCACUUAAUUCGAUGGUGUGUUUGAGAUAGAUAGAUAGAUACAAGCAUUGAAGAUAGGCUAGGCUGAUGGAGAUGUAAAUUUUCUGUAUCCAUGAUGUAUGUAUGUAUGAGAGAUUUUAUUAGUAAUUACUACUUUUAGUUGAAAUAUAACUAUUCAAUUGUCUACAACAACGAAUUCAUCAACAAG
This 1010-nucleotide long non-coding RNA is filed under the name Panax ginseng (ginseng). RNAcentral describes it as "long non-coding RNA (PGIN_LNC001592)". The record is from RNAcentral. Lineage: Eukaryota; Viridiplantae; Streptophyta; Magnoliopsida; Apiales; Araliaceae.